This is a long non-coding RNA of Phasianus colchicus (ring-necked pheasant), 1442 nucleotides long. RefSeq lists it as uncharacterized. NCBI's taxonomy places the organism in Eukaryota, Metazoa, Chordata, Aves, Galliformes, Phasianidae. The record is from RefSeq and is a predicted model, not a curated record.
GCUGUACGGGGAGUUUCUCUGCCCCGCUCCCACCUCUAAUGCGAGGUCUUUAACCUUUAACUCUGCUUCUCCUUUCCUCCAUCACUUCCAUCUGCUGUGAGCAGCGCCUUCGGGCUUCCCCGUUCCUCGUGGGUCGGGGGCCGAACUCUCCCCGCAGCUCCGUGCGGGUGGGGCCGGGGCGCUCCUCCUCCGCAGCGGAGAGGGAAAGGGAAAGCGAAAGGGAAAGAGCGGGCGAUGUCCCCGCAGUGGGGCCGGGGCAGGCGGCACACGCAGCGGGGGGCAGCACGUGGUCAUACCCAGGAGAUGCACAGGGAGAGGUCCCACCAGGACACCCCUCAUCACAGGGGUGCAGCGGUUGAUUCCGGGGUCCCAUGACAGCUCCAGAUCCACAAUGACCACAGGACCCACAGGGACAGUGGUCCUGGAGAUGGCUGGUGACUGCAGACUGCUGGAUUGCUCCACACCUGGAUGAGAUGUGUGAGGGUGCUGGGGAUGCUGGUGGCUCUGGGUCUCCUCCUGAGCCCUGAUCAUCGCAGCCAAGGCAAGCCAAGUUGGAUGGGGCCUUGGGCAACCUGAGCUGGAUUUCAGCCUCCAGAUUUCAGCUUCCAAAAUGUGCCAAGCAUGAGCCUUCUAGCAAGAGCUUCAUCUGCCCAACCCAUGCUGGACUAACUCAUCCCAGUCCAACCCCUCUCUGCAGGAGUUUUGCCUUCAUGGAAGAAGCUGGUGCCCUAGAAGUGGGCUUUGGAAUGCACUUGCAGUGCCAACAGCCACAGUGACCGUCCUGCUGCUGGGCUGAGUGGGGGAGAGGGGUCUGCAAUGGGUGAUGGAGCCCAAGCGGUGGCCUUGGGACCUGGCUGAGUUUCCCUGCUGCCAGCUGGGGGAUGGGGACAUCUGGAACAGGACACAUCUAGGAACAGGAGCAGGUGUUGCCUCGCUUACCCUGGGGCUUUAAAGGUCAGGCUCACCCCCAGCAAGGCACUGGGUCCUCAGUUAGCUGCCCAGCUCCGUAUAUAGUCAGCUAACUUACAUUUGUCAUCUCAAGAUACAGUUUGCUGUAGAACAGAGAAUAUUUAGAAGGGAUUUGGUAAGUAACAUCUACUGCUGUACUGAAAAUUCAACUCAAAGUGUUAAAAUCUUAAAAGAAAAAAAAAAAAGAAAAAGAAAGGUUUGGGUAAAAAUAAAAGGUCUUUGGAGAGGUUUCCUUGGCAGGAUCCUUUUCUCCCUGUACAUACAGUAGAUUUGUUCAUGUUUGUCAUUAUCCUUCUGAACAUCAAACAGGAGCGCAGCAAAGGCUGGCUUUCGAGAGAUAAACCUGGAGGAGAUAAUAUUUCACACUACAUAAAACGCACUUCGGGAAUUUUCAGUUCUUCUUUGUAACGUUACGAGGGCCUUUAUAAAAAGUGUCACAGCUCAUGAGCUAAAAAAGAAGAAAAAAAAAAAAA